AGUGAACGCUGGCGGUAGGCCUAACACAUGCGAGUCGAACGGCAGCACAGUAAGAGCUUGCUCUUACGGGUAGCGAGUGGCGGUCGGGUGAGGAAUACAUCGGAAUCUACUUUUUCGUGGGGGAUAACGUAGGGAAACUUACGCUAAUACCGCAUACGACCUACGGGUGAAAGCAGGGGAUCUUCGGACCUUGCGCGAUUGAAUGAGCCGAUGUCGGAUUAGCUAGUUGGCGGGGUAAAGGCCCACCAAGGCGACGAUCCGUAGCUGGUCUGAGAGGAUGAUCAGCCACACUGGAACUGAGACACGGUCCAGACUCCUACGGGAGGCAGCAGUGGGGAAUAUUGGACAAUGGGCGCAAGCCUGAUCCAGCCAUACCGCGUGGGUGAAGAAGGCCUUCGGGUUGUAAAGCCCUUUUGUUGGGAAAGAAAAGCAGCAGGUUAAUACCCCGCUGUUCUGACGGUACCCAAAGAAUAAGCACCGGCUAACUUCGUG
RNAcentral lists this ribosomal RNA (492 nucleotides) under uncultured bacterium. Its description in RNAcentral is "partial 16S ribosomal RNA". It matches the Rfam family "Bacterial small subunit ribosomal RNA", at positions 29 to 507 of the family's 1533-position model. The record is from RNAcentral.